RNAcentral lists this ribosomal RNA (492 nucleotides) under uncultured bacterium. RNAcentral describes it as "partial 16S ribosomal RNA". It matches the Rfam family "Bacterial small subunit ribosomal RNA", at positions 29 to 507 of the family's 1533-position model. The record is from RNAcentral.
AGUGAACGCUGGCGGUAGGCCUAACACAUGCAAGUCGAACGGCAGCACAGUAAGAGCUUGCUCUUACGGGUGGCGAGUGGCGGGCGGGUGAGGAAUACAUCGGAAUCUACUUUUUCGUGGGGGAUAACGUAGGGAAACUUACGCUAAUACCGCAUACGACCUACGGGUUAAAGCAGGGGAUCUUCGGACCUUGCGCGUUUGAAUGAGCCGAUGUCGGAUUAGCUAGUUGGCGGGGUAAAGGCCCACCAAGGCGACGAUCCGUAGCUGGUCUGAGAGGAUGAUCAGCCACACUGGAACUGAGACACGGUCCAGACUCCUACGGGAGGCAGCAGUGGGGAAUAUUGGACAAUGGGCGCAAGCCUGAUCCAGCCAUACCGCGUGGGUGAAGAAGGCCUUCGGGUUGUAAAGCCCUUUUGUUGGGAAAGAAAAGCAGCAGGUUAAUACCCCGCUGUUCUGACGGUACCCAAAGAAUAAGCACCGGCUAACUUCGUG